RNAcentral lists this long non-coding RNA (199 nucleotides) under Lathyrus oleraceus (garden pea). RNAcentral describes it as "Pisum sativum (pea) long non-coding RNA (PSAT_LNC004544)". Lineage: Eukaryota; Viridiplantae; Streptophyta; Magnoliopsida; Fabales; Fabaceae. The record is from RNAcentral.
AAAUAUCGAUUAUUUAGGUCAUUCAAUCGAUUGACCAUUAAUAUUUGCUUUUAAGCUUAUUCUAUCAUAUAUAAAUCAGGUGUCUUUCCUCUUCAUUUCACACCCGAACUCUGAAUUUCUCUAUUUUUGUAAAAUUAUCUCCCAUCUCUCUCUCUCUCUCUCUCUCUCUCUCUCUCUCUCACACACACACACACACACA